This 484-nucleotide ribosomal RNA is filed under the name uncultured bacterium. Its description in RNAcentral is "partial 16S ribosomal RNA". It matches the Rfam family "Bacterial small subunit ribosomal RNA", at positions 30 to 507 of the family's 1533-position model. The record is from RNAcentral.
AUUGAACGCUGGCGGCAGGCCUAACACAUGCAAGUCGAGCGGAUGAAGGGAGCUUGCUCCUGGAUUCAGCGGCGGACGGGUGAGUAAUGCCUAGGAAUCUGCCUGGUAGUGGGGGAUAACGUCCGGAAACGGGCGCUAAUACCGCGUACGUCCUGAGGGAGAAAGUGGGGGAUCUUCGGACCUCACGCUAUCAGAUGAGCCUAGGUCGGAUUAGCUAGUUGGUGGGGUAAGGGCCUACCAAGGCGACGAUCCGUAACUGGUCUGAGAGGAUGAUCAGUCACACUGGAACUGAGACACGGUCCAGACUCCUACGGGAGGCAGCAGUGGGGAAUAUUGGACAAUGGGCGAAAGCCUGAUCCAGCCAUGCCGCGUGUGUGAAGAAGGUCUUCGGAUUGUAAAGCACUUUAAGUUGGGAGGAAGGGCAGUAAGUUAAUACCUUGCUGUUUUGACGUUACCAACAGAAUAAGCACCGGCUAACUUCGUG